GCUGAAGGAAGAUUAUCCAUAAUGGGAAGCUGUAUCACCAGGAAGGAAUUAAAAACUUUAGAAAUGAUAAAUACAUUGGUAAAUAUGAAAACUUUUUUUUUUUUGAGACAGAGUCUCAAGCUGUUGCCAUGGGUAGAGUGCUGUAGAGUCACAGCUCACAGCAACCUUGAACUCCUGGGCUAAGUGAUUCUCUUGCCUCAGCCUCCCAAGUAACUAGGACUACUGGUGCCCGCCACAACGCCCGGCUAUUUUUUGGUUGUAGUUGUCAUUGUUGUUUGGUGGGCCCGGGCUGGAUUCGAACCCGCCAGCUCCAGUGUAUGUGGCUGGCGCCCUAGCCGCUUGAGCUACAGGCGCCGAGCUGAAAACAUUUUUUCAUAAAUUUUACUAAACAUCUAUUGGCCAUUUAAAGCAAAAGAAAAGUACAUUAUGGCUUUCCUUCUCUUGCUGCUUGUUGUGAAGGUCCGUGUCUUCCCCGCACGCCUCGUCGUCAUGCCUCGGAAAAUUGAGGAAAUCAAGGACUUUCUGCUCACAGCCAGGCGAAAAGAUGCCAAGUCUGUCAAGAUCAAGAAAAAUAAGGAUAACGUGAAGUUUAAAGUUCAAUGCAGCAGAUACCUGUAUACCUUGGUCAUCACAGACAAAGAGAAGGCGGAGAAACUGAAGCAGUCUCUGUCCCCCUGGUUUGGCAGUGAAGGAGCUGAAAUGAAGCAGACAUGCUGAUUUGAAUUGUAUUAAAUUUUAAAAAUUCAAAAAA
Molecule: RNA transcript, 751 nt
Organism: Nycticebus coucang (slow loris)
Lineage: Eukaryota; Metazoa; Chordata; Mammalia; Primates; Lorisidae
Gene name: 60S ribosomal protein L38-like
Exons: 1
Source: RefSeq, a predicted model, not a curated record